RNAcentral lists this transfer RNA (76 nucleotides) under Deltaproteobacteria bacterium. RNAcentral describes it as "tRNA-Val". It matches the Rfam family "tRNA". Rfam says of the family: Transfer RNA (tRNA) molecules are approximately 80 nucleotides in length. Lineage: Bacteria; Pseudomonadati; Myxococcota; Myxococcia. The record is from RNAcentral.
GGGCGGGUAGCUCAGUUGGUAGAGCAGUGCCCUUACAAGGCAAAGGUCGCAGGUUCGAAUCCUGUCCCGCCCACCA